CAUUGCUGUAUGAUAAGAACUUUGUCUAGUGCUCUUAUGAAUGUUUUAGCAUGACUUUGUGAAAGGUUAACUAAACUACAACGACCUCAUAGCUGGCUAUGGCCAUGGUUGCUUGUAAUCGAAAACAUUCUAUUCAUUUACACACAUUAAUGUGUGGCAAAACAUUUUGCAAUCAAUGUGUUUUUUGUCAUUUCUUCCAGCGCUAGAGCACAGAGCAAGUUAAAGCCAUAACCAUGCUUGUUUUUCUGCUGAUCGCAUCAAUGUUUCGCCAAGGUCUUACAGUAGUGGGCUAUGGAGACAAAUUUAUCACUGCCUUUCCAGAGAACCUUGGUUUCUUCUAUCCAUCUGAUACCAUCAACCGUCUAAGAGUCACGGCCCUUCAUGACAACACUACAUUCAACGUCGUCUACAAAACCACACAGAAAGUCUUACAAAUUCCAAAGUCAGGGCAGACCAUGAGUAUUCGGUUUCCAACGUCUGCUGAAGUAAACGAACAAGGCCCCUCGAUUUUAUCUGUCAGAAUUAGCAGUGACAAAAACAUCACAGUGGUUUCUAUAAGUCACCGGGCAGACAGCAAACAGUCCUAUGUCGUCCAGCCAACUGUAAAUCUUGGCACAAAUUAUUUGAUCCCUUUGCUGGAUUACCCAAAUUAUCUUCAAUCUUUCAACCUACCUUUGCUUGUCAGUACAACCUUAAGAUACAGCUCAUUCAAGUUACUCAUUAUCAAUGCGGUGGACAGUCAAAACAGCGUCACUAUAGUCAAGCAAACAUCAACAUCAGGUGCUCGUGAAGAGACGUUCAGUAUCGAUUCCUACGAGCUGGUCCAGCUUCAGACCAAUGGUUCUAUUUUGAGGGUCAGAUCGAGCAAAGAAGUCGCUGUGAUAUUGACCCACCCGUGUGUAGAGACUGGGAGCUGUAAUUGUAACAUGGUAAUGAAUCAGAUUCUUCCCACAAAGUUUCGGGGUCAGAGCUUUAUCGUGCCUUCCAUCUUCAAUGUGUCUACGACCAAGUUACUUAUGCUAUCAGGAAACACGUCCUCGCUAUUUCACAAUGGUAACCAGUUACAGGCUUCUCCCUCAACGCUUCUGCCAUUUUUAGACCUGCAGAAAUCCCAGCUGGUUAACGCUACGGAGCGAGUGUCCCUCAGACUUUUCAGUCCAGGCCUCAUUGUGG
Molecule: long non-coding RNA, 1173 nt
Filed under: Sinocyclocheilus grahami
Lineage: Eukaryota; Metazoa; Chordata; Actinopteri; Cypriniformes; Cyprinidae
Description: lncRNA (ENSSGRG00000019963.1)
Source: RNAcentral